AGCAGCCGCGGUAAUUCCAGCUCCAAUAGCGUAUAUUAAAGUUGUUGCAGUUAAAAAGCUCGUAGUUGAAUUUCGGGGGUUAGUAGGUUGGUCAUGCCUCUGGUAUGUACUGGUCUCACUGAUUCCUCCUUCUUGAAGAACCGUAAUGUCAUUAACUUGGUGUUGCGGGGAAACAGGACUGUUACUUUGAAAAAAAUUAGAGUGUUUAAAGCAGGCAAACGCCUGAAUACAUUAGCAUGGAAUAAUGAAAUAGGACGUUCGAUCCUAUUUUGUUGGUUUCUAGGAUUGACGUAAUGAUUAAUAGGGAUAGUUGGGGGCAUUAGUAUUCAAUUGUCAGAGGUGAAAAUUCUUGGAUUUAUGAAGACUGACUACUGCGAAAGCAUUUGCCAAGGAUGUUUUCAUUAAUCAAGAACGAAAGUUAGGGGAUCGAAGACGAUCAGAUACCGUCGUAGUCUUAACCAUAAACUACGCCGACUAGGGAUCGGAUGAUAGUUAAUUUUUUAUAGUACUCAUUCGGCGU
RNAcentral lists this ribosomal RNA (520 nucleotides) under uncultured Glomus. Its description in RNAcentral is "SSU rRNA". It matches the Rfam family "Eukaryotic small subunit ribosomal RNA", at positions 569 to 1086 of the family's 1831-position model. The record is from RNAcentral. Lineage: Eukaryota; Fungi; Glomeromycota; Glomeromycetes; Glomerales; Glomeraceae.